GACGAACGCUGGCGGCGUGCUUAACACAUGCAAGUCGAACGGAAAGGCCCUGCUUGCAGGGUGCUCGAGUGGCGAACGGGUGAGUAACACGUGGGUGAUCUGCCCCUUACUUUGGGAUAAGCCUGGGAAACUGGGUCUAAUACUGGAUAGGACCAUGCUGUAGGUGGUGUGGUGGAAAGAUUAGUUUCGGUAAGGGAUGAGCUCGCGGCCUAUCAGCUUGUUGGUGGGGUAAUGGCCUACCAAGGCGUCGACGGGUAGCUGGCCUGAGAGGGUGGACGGCCACAUUGGGACUGAGAUACGGCCCAGACUCCUACGGGAGGCAGCAGUGGGGAAUAUUGCACAAUGGGCGCAAGCCUGAUGCAGCGACGCCGCGUGGGGGAUGACGGCCUUCGGGUUGUAAACUCCUUUCAGCCAUGACGAAGCCCUUGUGGUGACGGUAGUGGUAGAAGAAGCACCGGCUAACUACGUG
Molecule: ribosomal RNA, 469 nt
Filed under: uncultured bacterium
Lineage: Bacteria
Description: partial 16S ribosomal RNA
Rfam family: Bacterial small subunit ribosomal RNA
Source: RNAcentral